This is a long non-coding RNA of Myzus persicae (green peach aphid), 291 nucleotides long. RefSeq lists it as uncharacterized. The transcript has 2 exons. NCBI's taxonomy places the organism in Eukaryota, Metazoa, Arthropoda, Insecta, Hemiptera, Aphididae. The record is from RefSeq and is a predicted model, not a curated record.
AUGAUAUUAAUAAUAAUAAUAAUAAUAAUAGACAAUACCUUAUAGGUAUACAGUCUACUACCAAAGGUUUCUGUGCAACCCAAUCGCACAUGUUUGUCCUUCGAGUCUACGAGCUACUAAAUACAAUAGUAUCAAGUUCAUGAAUUUUAUGUGUUAAUUUCAUAGCUACCUAUUAAAUUUGGUUUAAGUGUAUACAGAAAAAUGAGCGGAGACUCUUAUUCAGAACGUACGUUCAUCAUGGUCAAGCCAGAUGGUGUUCAACGCGGCCUGGUUGGCAAGAUAAUUAAGCGC